Molecule: long non-coding RNA, 209 nt
Organism: Alosa sapidissima (American shad)
Lineage: Eukaryota; Metazoa; Chordata; Actinopteri; Clupeiformes; Clupeidae
Exons: 2
Source: RefSeq, a predicted model, not a curated record
GUGUGUGUGUGUGUGUGUGUGUGUGUGUGUGUGUGUGUGUGUGUGUUUUGGGUCCCCCAGUGGGUCAGGUGGCCUUGACCACUGCGCAGCUGAAACUCAGAACUCAGACACACACACACUCACAAACACGCCAAUGUCAUGCACAGGGGUCCCAUGUGUCCAUAUGUUGUGCUGAGACCAGUUAUUAAACCUGCAGCUGAGAAUGACAA